GAAAAUCGAGGGGGUAUUUAUCAUCACUCAGUCACUGCUAUAAAACCUCCGCCAAAACCCUAACACCGCCCUUAUCUCCCCCUCUCACUCUAGGGUUUAUCAAAGCCCCAAACCCUGGUCGCGAUCAACCAUGGCGACCCAUUUCUUCUCUCGCUCGAUUCCCAAGUCCCAAGCCAUGGCUUCAUUUCUCUCUCGCUCCCUCUCCACCGCCACCUCCGCCACUUCCCUAUCCACCGCCGCCCAAUCUCGUUCUUCUUCGCUCUCUCUCCUCCACCGCCUCCGCCCUCUUGCCGGAGUCAUGGCCUCCGCCGGCAGGCUCUCCCCUGCGAUCGCCCGGUGCUUGUCGACCAGAUCGACGACGUCAUCGCUCAGGGACCCGAACCCUAACUGGUCGAACCGGCCUCCCAAGGAGACGAUCCUCCUCGACGGGUGUGACUUCGAGCACUGGUUGGUUGUCAUGGAGGCCCCUCAGGGUGAUAUCACUAGGGAUGAGAUCAUCAAUAGCUACAUCAAAACCCUAGCUACCGUCGUCGGAAGUGAGGAAGAAGCAAGAAUGAAGAUCUACUCAGUUUCAACUAGGUGCUAUUAUGCGUUUGGGGCACUUGUAUCUGAAGAGGUUUCACUCAAAAUCAAAGAGUUGCCUGGAGUCCGUUGGGUACUUCCUGAUUCCUACUUGGAUGUUAAGAACAAAGAUUAUGGAGGUGAACCUUUUAUUAAUGGCCAAGCAGUGCCAUAUGAUCCCAAGUACCAUGAGGAAUGGAUAAGAAACAAUAGUCGAGCAAAUGAGAGAAACAGGCGUAAUGACAGACCUCGUAACUUUGACAGAUCAAGGAACUUUGAAAGGAGAAGGGAAAAUAUGCAGAAUCGUGAUUUUCAGAAUACGGGUCCAUCUCCUAUGCCUAAUCAAGCUGGGCCAAAUUCGGGACCUGGACCUGCCAACAUGGGUCCUCCACCCCCCAACAGGGGUCCAAUGCAGCCUCCCAACAUGGGUCCUCCACCCCCGAACAGGGCUCCAAUGCCGCCUCCCAACAUGGGUCCACCAAACAACUACAAUAAUCCCCAGCCAAGCAACAACUGGAAUUCUGGGCCACCGAACAGCUAUAAUCAGGUGCCUCCCAACAGCUACAAUCAGAUGCCGCCCAACAACUACAAUCAGAUGCCUCCCAAUAACCCGGGAGGGGUGCCACCAAACAACAUGGCUCCACCUUCUAAUGCAGGAUGGAAUGAUCCUGGACAAUACCAGAAUAACUACACGCCAGACAGGGAUGCUGGAGUCAAUCCUGGUCCAAACCGUUACUAAACUUGAGGCUAGUUGCAGUAUGAUGAGUCUUGUAGGCAUGUUGUAGAUAAACGAGGAGGUUGCUUGAUAUUUCCUUUGGCAUAUUGCUGUGGUCGGAACCUGGUUGCCUUUUAUCCGAAUAUGAUUACACUUUCAAGGUCACAUCUUUUGCGAUUGACAGAAAGCAGACUGCAUGGGGAUCCUUGUUAAAUGGAACAUGUUAAUUUGCAGUCCUCUGUGAAGAUUAUGUGUUGCUAUUCUUUCCUAGAUUGUUUUUGCAUGCUAUGCUCUCACAUUGGUUUUUGCAUAUUUUGGUGAUGAUGUUAUUUUGCUAGAAAACUGUCAUGUUACGUUGUCAA
Non-coding RNA from Malus domestica (apple), 1638 nucleotides. Lineage: Eukaryota; Viridiplantae; Streptophyta; Magnoliopsida; Rosales; Rosaceae. The record is from RefSeq and is a predicted model, not a curated record.